CGGCGCGAUGCGAGCGUACAGCCAGAUGGAAAUCCUUCGGGAAUCGUGAAUAAAAGAGGAGACGAAGCGUAUAUGCGCAUUGGAGCUGUGAAAACGAAUAUUAUCAGGAGAAGGCCUGUAACCGGUUGACACGAAGAUUGAACGAACUUAAUCAACGACAGGGAGAAUGAAGCUCUCCUUCUAAUGGGACGCAAUUUCUUCUUGAUUUCCUUGAAGCUUCAGAAGUUUGAAAUUAAAGAUGGAUAUUGCUAUCCGCUGAGAAGGGUGUAAACAAGAUGACCCGAAGGCUGAAAGAAAUUAGUUGUUGCCAGGUGUUACAUGAAGCACAUUAAAAAUGGAAUACACUGCGUUAUUGAUAAAACUUGGAUGCAACGAGGAAAGGAAAUUCUGGGUAUAAAUCGUGCUAAUCACCUAAAUUUCAUACGUUUCAAUGAUCUUGACCUCUAUAAGCCUUUUAGAAACAUAACUUAUGAUCAUUUAGAUCAAUAAUUAGCCCUUCCAGACUUUCUCCCAGUAUCAGGAUCAAAAUAACUUCUGAUUCUUGGAAUUCCAUGAUAUCUUUUUACUUACUUAUACUUGGAAACGAUGGGACAAGGGGUAACGCGUUCAAAGAGCGUAUAAUUCUUUGUGAAGAAGGAACGAGAUGAUGAAAAACGGAAGGAAAAGUGUGGACGGAGAGUGUUUGAAGAGGAGGCAAGGUGGUUGAAAGAAUCCGAAGAAUAUAAAAUCAAUUGGGUUUGAACAGCUGUCCAAAGGUAGUACGGAAUUGUCUGGACAUGGAACAGUAAAGGAUGAAGUUGAUUGCCCCAUUCAAUAAAGCCAGG
Molecule: long non-coding RNA, 824 nt
Organism: Osmia bicornis bicornis
Lineage: Eukaryota; Metazoa; Arthropoda; Insecta; Hymenoptera; Megachilidae
Exons: 6
Source: RefSeq, a predicted model, not a curated record